GCAUAUCAAUAAGCGGAGGAAAAGAAACCAACAGGGAUUGCCCCCAGUAACGGCGAGUGAAGCGGCAACAGCUCAAAUUUGAAAUCUGGCCCUCGGGUCCGAGUUGUAAUUUGUAGAGGAUGCUUUUGGUGAGGUACCUUCCGAGUUCCCUGGAACGGGACGCCAUAGAGGGUGAGAGCCCCGUCUGGUUGGAUACCGAGCCUCUGUAAAGCUCCUUCGACGAGUCGAGUAGUUUGGGAAUGCUGCUCUAAAUGGGAGGUAUAUGUCUUCUAAAGCUAAAUAUUGGCCAGAGACCGAUAGCGCACAAGUAGAGUGAUCGAAAGAUGAAAAGCACUUUGAAAAGAGGGUUAAACAGUACGUGAAAUUGUUGAAAGGGAAGCGCUUGUGACCAGACUUGGGCCCGGUUAAUCAUCCAGCGUUCUCGCUGGUGCACUUGGCCGGCCCAGGCCAGCAUCAGUUCGGUGUGGGGGAUAAAGGCGGCGGGAAUGUGGCUCCUCCGGGAGUGUUAUAGCCCACCGUGUAAUACCCUGUGCUGGACUGAGGUUCGCGCAUUCGCAAGGAUGCUGGCGUAAUGGUCAUUAGCGACCCGUCUUGAAACACGGACCAAGGAGUCGUCUUCGUAUGCGAGUGUUCGGGUGUUAAACCCCUACGCGUAAUGAAAGUGAACGCAGGUGAGAGCUUCGGCGCAUCAUCGACCGAUCCUGAUGUUCUCGGAUGGAUUUGAGUAAGAGCAUACGGGGCCGGACCCGAAAGAAGGUGAACUAUGCCUGUAUAGGGUGAAGCCAGAGGAAACUCUGGUGGAGGCUCGCAGCGGUUCUGACGUGCAAAUCGAUCGUCAAAUAUGGGCAUGGGGGGCGAAAGACUAAUCGAGCCUUCUAGUAGCUGGUUUCCGCCGAAG
Molecule: ribosomal RNA, 898 nt
Filed under: Fusicolla matuoi
Lineage: Eukaryota; Fungi; Ascomycota; Sordariomycetes; Hypocreales; Nectriaceae
Description: LSU rRNA
Rfam family: Eukaryotic large subunit ribosomal RNA
Source: RNAcentral